RNAcentral lists this ribosomal RNA (253 nucleotides) under uncultured bacterium. RNAcentral's name for it is "partial 16S ribosomal RNA". It matches the Rfam family "Bacterial small subunit ribosomal RNA", at positions 524 to 776 of the family's 1533-position model. The record is from RNAcentral.
UACGUAGGGUCCGAGCGUUGUCCGGAGUUACUGGGCGUAAAGCGCGCGCAGGCGGCGGCGCAAGCCUGGCGUGAAAGCCCCCGGCUCAACCGGGGAGGGUCGUCGGGGACUGCGUCGCUUGAGGACGGCAGGGGCCGGUGGAAUGCCCGGUGUAGUGGUGAAAUGCGUAGAGAUCGGGCAGAACCCCCGUGGCGAAGGCGGCCGGCUGGGCCGAUCCUGACGCUGAGGCGCGAAGGCGUGGGGAGCGAACGGG